AGGCUGAAAUUGUGAACCUUGGCCACUCCCAAUUAAAAUUCUCUUCUCUCAUUUGGGACACUGAAGGGCAUCUUUCACCCCCAGCUGUCAAAUAGAAACAUAGAAAGCAACUCAACAUAGCCUUCAACAACCAGGAACUGUAGAAAAAGAAUUUGCAAACAUUGCACAUUCUCCUUUGUUGCUUCAAAUAUGUGGUAUCUUCUAGGAACUGGGCCCAGAGUCUCACUGUGUCGCCCAGGCUGGAGUGCAAGUGGCAUGAUCUUGGCUCACAACUGCAACCUCCGUCUCCCGGGUUCAAACGAUUCUCCUACCUCAGCCUCCCGAAUAUCUGGGAUUACAGGUGCCCACCACCAUGCCUGGAUAAUUUUUAAAAAUAUUUUUAGUAGAGACAGGGUUUCACCAACUAGGCCAGGCUGCUCUUGAACUCCUGACCUCAGGUAAUCCACCCGCCUUGGCCUCCCAAAAUGCUGGGAUUACAGGUGUGAGCCACCGCGCCUGACCAACUUUAGCUUUUCAAAAUCUGUCUUCGUAGACGAUAAUGGAAAUAUCUACCAAAGCUAAAUAUUCACCUACCCCAUGACCCAGCAAUUUUACUCCUAGGUAUAUAUACCAAAAAAAAUGAGUGUUCUGUGUCCACUAGAGAUAUGUGCCAAAGUGUUCAUAAUAGAUCCAAACUGGAAACAGCUCAAAUGUCCAUCAAUAGCAGAAAGAUAAACAAAUGUUGGGAUGUUCAGAGCUUGAAAUAUGACACAAUAUAAAAGGACAAACUAUUAAAACUCACAACAGCAUGGAUAAAUCUUACAGACAUAAUUAUUGAGCAAAAGAUACCAGAAACACAAAAGUAUAUACUGUCUGAUUCCUUUAAAUAAAGGUUAAGAUGAUUCUCCCUCCUGCAGCCUUGUGAAGAAGGUGCCUUUCUUCCCCUUCGCCUUCUGCCAUGAUUGUAAGUUUCCUGAGGCCUCCCCAGCCAUGUUGAAUUCUCAUUGUCCCUGAUAAAAUAGCACCCUCUCUUCCUCUGCUCUUCCACCCUUUUCCUCUUCCGCUGUGCAACUGAAGACUGGGAAAGAAUGACAUGCAAAAUAAGAGGUUUUGGAUUCAGCGUAGGACUAACUACUGGAUGCUACUUACAGAAAACUUUAUAUUUGUGCUGAAAAAUCUUGUUAUCUAGGUGAAAGCCAAUGCUAUCCUAAUGACAAAAUUGUUGGGGAAAUAAAUUUAUAAGAGACUUUAUUUAAAGAAAUAAAAGAAAAAAUAAUAA
This 1258-nucleotide long non-coding RNA is filed under the name Homo sapiens (human). Its description in RNAcentral is "HSALNT0318751". The record is from RNAcentral. Lineage: Eukaryota; Metazoa; Chordata; Mammalia; Primates; Hominidae.